Molecule: ribosomal RNA, 463 nt
Filed under: Bacillus subtilis
Lineage: Bacteria; Bacillati; Bacillota; Bacilli; Caryophanales; Bacillaceae
Description: bacterial SSU rRNA
Rfam family: Bacterial small subunit ribosomal RNA
Source: RNAcentral
CGCUGGCGGCGUGCCUAAUACAUGCAAGUCGAGCGGACAGAUGGGAGCUUGCUCCCUGAUGUUAGCGGCGGACGGGUGAGUAACACGUGGGUAACCUGCCUGUAAGACUGGGAUAACUCCGGGAAACCGGGGCUAAUACCGGAUGGUUGUCUGAACCGCAUGGUUCAGACAUAAAAGGUGGCUUCGGCUACCACUUACAGAUGGACCCGCGGCGCAUUAGCUAGUUGGUGAGGUAACGGCUCACCAAGGCGACGAUGCGUAGCCGACCUGAGAGGGUGAUCGGCCACACUGGGACUGAGACACGGCCCAGACUCCUACGGGAGGCAGCAGUAGGGAAUCUUCCGCAAUGGACGAAAGUCUGACGGAGCAACGCCGCGUGAGUGAUGAAGGUUUUCGGAUCGUAAAGCUCUGUUGUUAGGGAAGAACAAGUGCCGUUCAAAUAGGGCGGCACCUUGACGGUACC